This 497-nucleotide ribosomal RNA is filed under the name uncultured bacterium. Its description in RNAcentral is "partial 16S ribosomal RNA". It matches the Rfam family "Bacterial small subunit ribosomal RNA", at positions 28 to 507 of the family's 1533-position model. The record is from RNAcentral.
GAUGAACGCUGGCGGCGUGCCUAACACAUGCAAGUCGAGCGAACAGACGCGGAGCUUGCUCCUCUGACGUCAUCGGCGGACGGGUGAGUAACACAUGCUUAACCUACCUUUCAGACUGUGAUAACUUCGUGAAACCGGAGCUAAUUCCUGAUACUUUCUUUAACCUCAUGGUUUAAAAGUGCAAGACGGUUUUGCUGUCACUUCUAGCUGGAUUCGCGCUGCAUUAGCUAGUUGGUAAGUUAACGGCUUACCAAGGCACCGAUGCGUAGCUGACCUGAGAGGGUGAACAGGCACACUGGAACUGAGACGCGAUACAGACUACGAGGGGAGGCAGCGGAAGGGAAAGGAGGGCAAUGGGAGAAAGACUGACGGAGAAACGCCACGUGGGUGAUGAAAGGCUGCGGAUAGGAAGACUCUGUUAUUAGGGAAGAACGAAUGUGUAAGGGACGAUGCACGUCUUGACGGUACCUAAUGAAGAAGCCACGGCUAACUACGUG